AGUAGAGCGGCGCACGGGUGAGUAACGCGUGGGUAACCUACCUUCGGGCGGGGGAUAACCACUCGAAAGGGUGGCUAAUACCGCAUGAGACCACGGGGUCCUCGGGCCCCGGGGCCAAAGGCGGCACCGGCUUGCCGGUGCUGUCACCUGAAGAUGGGCCCGCGUACGAUUAGCUAGUUGGUAGGGUAACGGCCUACCAAGGCUGCGAUCGUUAGCUGGUCUGAGAGGAUGGCCAGCCACACUGGAACUGGAACACGGUCCAGACUCCUACGGGAGGCAGCAGUGAGGAAUAUUGCGCAAUGGGGGAAACCCUGACGCAGCAACGCCGCGUGGGUGAAGAAGGCCUUCGGGUCGUAAAGCCCUUUCGGACGGGACGAACGCUCCGCGGGGAUAAUCCGCGGAGUCUGACGGUACCGUAGGAAGAAGCACCGGCUAACUCCGUGCCAGCAGCCGCGGUAAUACGGAGGGUGCAAGCGUUGUUCGGAAUUACUGGGCGUAAAGCGCGUGUAGGCGG
Molecule: ribosomal RNA, 514 nt
Filed under: uncultured delta proteobacterium
Lineage: Bacteria; Deltaproteobacteria
Description: bacterial SSU rRNA
Rfam family: Bacterial small subunit ribosomal RNA
Source: RNAcentral